This 267-nucleotide ribosomal RNA is filed under the name uncultured bacterium. Its description in RNAcentral is "partial 16S ribosomal RNA". It matches the Rfam family "Bacterial small subunit ribosomal RNA", at positions 524 to 786 of the family's 1533-position model. The record is from RNAcentral.
UACGAAGGGGGCUAGCGUUGCUCGGAAUUACUGGGCGUAAAGCGCACGUAGGCGGCUUUCUAAGUCGGGGGUGAAAUCCUGGAGCUCAACUCCAGAACUGCCUUCGAUACUGGAGAGCUUGAGUCCGGGAGAGGUGAGUGGAACUGCGAGUGUAGAGGUGAAAUUCGUAGAUAUUCGCAAGAACACCAGUGGCGAAGGCGGCUCACUGGCCCGGGUACUGACGCCUGAGGUGCGAAAGGCGUGGGGAGCAAACAGGAUUGAGAUACC